This is a long non-coding RNA of Oreochromis aureus, 3434 nucleotides long. The record is from Ensembl. NCBI's taxonomy places the organism in Eukaryota, Metazoa, Chordata, Actinopteri, Cichliformes, Cichlidae.
CAGCUCUCGCGGCCCGGUACCAAACGACCCGGGGGUUGGAGACCGCUGUCUUAAUCUAUCAGGAUGGCGAUGAGCUUGCAUCACGCAGUCCACCUAAAAUACAGGAUUGAUUUACUGAUGAUCUCAUAGGCAACCUGACACCCUUACUGGACUCACUUCCGCUUUAACUAAUGAUUCCCAAAUCCAAACUAGAAUUCCUUUCCCCCGUGUAAACCAUUUUAGAUAAAGACAAAGAACAGCAACACAUUUAACACAUGCAAGUGUUUUCAAAAAAGAUACUCACUCAACUGGUCGAAAAGAGGAGAUUACAGUACUUCACCUAACACGAUCAUACAAAAUCCUAAACGACGACUGCAGUCAUGCGACACUGAAUCUUUUAACCUUUCUAGGAGGAACACAAGCUUUUAACAGCAACGUCCAGCAGACUUCUCAGAUGAACAGCAUGGCCUGAAUAAUUUACAACAGACCUGUGAGUCUGAUCAUUACCAAACCAGACAUCACAAGGAAACAAGUGGAGCAGGGGCCACAGUUUUUAGACAGAAACAUCCUCACCUGUUGAGAGGCGGCUCCUUGUAACUCACGGCACCCUUCCCAGGUCUCCGUCUCCUGCUUCUCUCUCCAUUUUCACAGUCUGGUGUUGUCAAAGUGUUGGUUACUGUUGAUAAGACUCUGCCUGCAGCAACAAACAAUAAGAGUAAUGCAGCCCCGUUCAGAUAAACGUUUUGGGGACAUUUGCCACAAACAUUAAUGUCUUAAAGUGACAGAGUAUUGAACCUUUGAAUGUCUGCUAUGACCUCAGUGAUAAAGAAAGUAAAAUUAUCCCCCAUCUGUCACAAACGAAAACUAAAAAUGUACAAACUCAGUAACAUAAGAGCUGAUGACAGAGCUGUGCUUGCAUUAGACUGCACUGCUGUAACUAAAGACGUGUUCCACACCUGGAGAGGCUUCAGCCGUUCCAAUCGUCGCGAGCCUGCCUGGUGUUUCCCUGUUUGGAGUGGCGAGUAGAGAGUCCACAGUGAUGUGAGCUGUGCUGUUAUCCACGUCCAGCCACGGCGGCAGCUCAUCCAUCAGCAGGUCGCCCACAUUCUGAUGAACUGCCUGAUCGCUGGUGUCCACCGUGUGACUGCAGGUGUCUGAUGCGUUCGACAUCCUGGUGAUGUUUUCAGAACUACAUCCACUUCUGUUCUUAGUUUUUCGUCUGUAGACAACAAAAGUCUUCCUGGGAUAUCUGGUUUCCAUGGCUGUGUUCAGCAUGAAUACAUUUCUAGAUGAUGCGGGACUCGAAUCCCUCCUGGACUGCGAAUCAUUCAGAUGUUCAAAGAUUUCAUGCUUUUCACUGAUGGCAGAAUGUGAGUCGAGCAUUUGUAAAUCAUGUAAUUGACCUUUAGCGAUUUCAGAAUCAAGGCAGAGAGCGGAGGCGUCUCUAGGGUCAGGAGGAUAACACGUUUCACUCUCAGACCUUAAGUCUUUGUUGUCUUUUUUCUUCGUCUUGUCAUCUAACAAGUCAUCACCCUCUUCUCGCUGCACCACUUUGUUCCUGUAGGGCUGCCCUGUUUUGUCUCUCCUGGAUUUUUUACGUUUUUGAAACUGUGAUCCUAAAGCCGCCUGCCAAUCCAGCAGCAGUGCUUCACCACUGUCACCGCUGCUCGAGUCCUCUUGACAGUUCCCAGAGUCCUGAGUGGCCACCCAGGAUCGCUUCCCAGAGCGCCGAGUCUUUGAACGAUUGCUUGAUUCUACAUGUCCAACAAUGCUUUUAUUCAUGACUGCUUCUUCUGCCUGAAAGCUGGAUCCUGUAGGAGGCGCCACAUCAUGCUCUGGUGAGUCACUGUCGCUGGUUAUUGAGAUAACAAAUGUCUCCCUGCAUCUUGAUUUGUGACCUCCCCUAGAAUUAGUCACAGUAUUAGUUUUGCUAAAGGACAGACGCUCCGCAUGCUGGGACUCUGGAUGUGCACAAAGCAGAGCGUCCUCAGAGACUUGAGACUCUAAGCUUUCAUCUCCUGCUUUAGGUUUUUGGACCUUCUCCUGGUGGGAUUGGCUGCUCUCACUUUCAUCAGACGGCACAGUGAAUAAACUUUUCCUGGUUACUGAAGAGGCCCUCUUUCCUUUAGCUCUGGACUUCCUGCAUGUUAUUUUGGAACUUGCUUCGUCAGCCACACUUCUGCUGGUGCUUGAAAACCUAAUUUUAGGAUCAGAGAAGUAAUCUUCCACAUCCAUUUGGUCUACAUUUGUGAUGUUAGUGCGGUCAGAAGAUUUGACUUUAUCCUUUGAUUUGACCUUCUGAUGCUUGCCCAGUUUAGGGAUGCGAGUGACAGUACUUUGAUCCUUCAGCGGCUUUUUAUGUGAUUGUAACAAAGAUGCAGACUUCUGCACUUCUAUACUUGAGCCGCAGCUUUGCUCCUUGUCCUUUCUGCCAGAGCUGACUUUUUUUUUCGCUUUUGUUUCCACAGUGACUAUCUCAGUGGCUUCACUUAAGGUCAUCUCCAUGGUUGCAUUGAGCAAAACAGUUUUCUCUUGAUUUUUGCCAAGCUGUGUUUCACUUUCCAUGGAGGAGACACUGGGAAGAUUCUGAUCUCCAGAAAGGGAUUGUGUGGAUUUUUCACAACUCUGACUGUUCUGAACAGAGACGACAGAAUGAAUAUCAGCCUGGGACUGAGAGGACUUCUCCAACUCUUCGCUCGGAGUAUUGGCCAGCCCAGACGCUUCUAUGUGGGCAGUCUGUGCGCACUGGAUGGACAGCCUUUUUUCAGCUUCUGUGUUAUCUGCCCAAAAAGCAGACUACAUCAGCAUUUCACAGCAUCAACAUUUUACAGUUAACACUAAAACUUUCAACGCUUAAAUCACGCCUACCGUUGCAAACGUCAGUCGACUUUUCACAUGUAUUCGGGAGAGUGGAGACGUCCUCAUUGAUGUUUAUUUCAAGCGGGCCAGUUGUUGUGUUUUUGCUGGUACACCACAAAUUCCUUGAAACAUCUGUCUGCAGCGGUAACUGACUAAAAUGGGGCGAAAAGGCAAGAUAUUAAAAAUAUAUAUAUAUUUUUUUUUAACACACUAGUGAAUGCAGGUGCUACCCCUCAGCCUCCUAGUAGAUUCAAACUUGUCUGAGAUUUUUAGGAGAUGCAUCUGUGGAAUCAACAGCGAAAUCCUACAUUGCAUUCACAAGCUCCACGUCGUCCACCUGACGGGGCGAUGACAACACUCCAUCAGCUCUUUUGGAGCUGAGGGGUAAAAACUUUUUUUCACACUCGGAUAUUGCUUUCAAAAGUCUGGUUUAGUGACAGCAUUAUUAUUAUCAUCGUUUCUUACAGCUUCAACAUAUAUUGAGAUGUCUUGCAGGUAUAUUUUGGGAGUUUGGGGACCCUAUAUGUACCUAUAAGAAUGUCUUUCAAACUUAACAAAUAUUAACCUACAGUCUGUAAACAGAACGUGUGAUAAUC